CCUACGGGUGGCUGCAGUGGGGAAUUUUGGACAAUGGGCGCAAGCCUGAUCCAGCCAUGCCGCGUGAGUGAAGAAGGCCUUCGGGUUGUAAAGCUCUUUCAGGUGGAAAGAAAUCGCACUUUCUAAUACAAGGUGUGGAUGACGGUACCAUCAGAAGAAGCACCGGCUAACUACGUGCCAGCAGCCGCGGUAAUACGUAGGGUGCGAGCGUUAAUCGGAAUUACUGGGCGUAAAGCGUGCGCAGGCGGUUAUGUAAGACAGAUGUGAAAUCCCCG
Molecule: ribosomal RNA, 275 nt
Filed under: uncultured Zoogloea sp.
Lineage: Bacteria; Pseudomonadati; Pseudomonadota; Betaproteobacteria; Rhodocyclales; Zoogloeaceae
Description: partial 16S ribosomal RNA
Rfam family: Bacterial small subunit ribosomal RNA
Source: RNAcentral